Crenichthys baileyi (White River springfish) is the source of this 74-nucleotide non-coding RNA. Lineage: Eukaryota; Metazoa; Chordata; Actinopteri; Cyprinodontiformes; Goodeidae. The record is from the annotation of a GenBank genome assembly.
UGCACGGUGGUGCAGUUGGUAGCAUUGUUGCCUUGCACAAGAUGGUUCUGAGUUCAACUCCCAGCUGGGGGUCU